Molecule: microRNA precursor, 62 nt
Filed under: Pristionchus pacificus
Lineage: Eukaryota; Metazoa; Nematoda; Chromadorea; Rhabditida; Neodiplogasteridae
Description: mir-8364 microRNA precursor family
Rfam family: mir-8364 microRNA precursor family
Source: Rfam by way of RNAcentral
UUUUCAUUCUUUCACACUCUCUCACCGGUCAGAGAGGCGAGAGAGUGUGCGAAAUGAAGAGA